GAUGAACGCUAGCGGGAGGCUUAAUACAUGCAAGUCGAACGGUAAGGUCUCUGCUUGCAGAGAUACACGAGUGGCGCACGGGUGAGUAACGCGUACACGACCUACCUUUAAGAAGGGGAUAGCCCUGGGAAACUGGGAUUAAUACCCUAUAGUAUUAUUGUUUUACGGAAUAAUAAUUAAAGCAUUAGUGUGCUUAAAGAUGGGUGUGCGUUAGAUUAGCUAGUUGGUAAGGUAACGGCUUACCAAGGCGACGAUCUAUAGGGGGCGUGAGAGCGUGAUCCCCCACACGGGUACUGAGACACGGACCCGACUCCUACGGGAGGCAGCAGUAAGGAAUAUUGGACAAUGGGGGCAACCCUGAUCCAGCCAUCCCGCGUGCAGGAAGACGGCCCUAUGGGUUGUAAACUGCUUUUAUUAGGGAAGAAAAUGUUUCAUUUAUGAGACACUGACGGUACCUAAAGAAUAAGCACCGGCUAACUCCG
Molecule: ribosomal RNA, 482 nt
Filed under: uncultured Saprospiraceae bacterium
Lineage: Bacteria; Pseudomonadati; Bacteroidota; Saprospiria; Saprospirales; Saprospiraceae
Description: bacterial SSU rRNA
Rfam family: Bacterial small subunit ribosomal RNA
Source: RNAcentral